GGGCCGGUAUUCCGUAGAAGGUAGCGGACCUGACUGUAAAUCAGGUGCUUAAUUGCUCGGCUGGUUCGAUCCCAGCUCGGCCCACCA
Molecule: transfer RNA, 87 nt
Filed under: Caudoviricetes sp.
Lineage: Duplodnaviria; Heunggongvirae; Uroviricota; Caudoviricetes
Description: tRNA-Tyr
Rfam family: tRNA
About the family: Transfer RNA (tRNA) molecules are approximately 80 nucleotides in length. Their secondary structure includes four short double-helical elements and three loops (D, anti-codon, and T loops). Further hydrogen bonds mediate the characteristic L-shaped molecular structure. tRNAs have two regions of fundamental functional importance: the anti-codon, which is responsible for specific mRNA codon recognition, and the 3' end, to which the tRNAs corresponding amino acid is attached (by aminoacyl-tRNA synthetases). tRNAs cope with the degeneracy of the genetic code in two manners: having more than one tRNA (with a specific anti-codon) for a particular amino acid; and 'wobble' base-pairing, i.e. permitting non-standard base-pairing at the 3rd anti-codon position.
Source: RNAcentral